AAUAUUGCACAAUGGGGGCAACCCUGAUGCAGCGACGCCGCGUGAGCGAUGAAGGCCUUCGGGUCGUAAAGCUCUUUUCUAGGUGACGAGCAAGGACGGUAGCCUAGGAAUAAGUCUCGGCUAACUACGUGCCAGCAGCCGCGGUAAAACGUAGGAGGCAAGCGUUAUCCGGAGUUACUGGGCGUAAAGCGCAAGUAGGCGGAUGGACAAGUUGGUUGUGAAAGCGCCCGGCUAAACUGGGCGAGGCCGAUCAAGACUGUUCGUCUAGAGAGUGAUAGAGGGGCGCAGAAUUCGGGGUGUAGCGGUGAAAUGUGUAGAGAUCCCGAGGAAUACCAGUGGGGAAGCCGGCGCCCUGGGUCAUAUCUGACGCUGAGAUGCGAAAGCGUGGGGAGC
Molecule: ribosomal RNA, 393 nt
Filed under: uncultured bacterium
Lineage: Bacteria
Description: bacterial SSU rRNA
Rfam family: Bacterial small subunit ribosomal RNA
Source: RNAcentral